RNAcentral lists this unclassified non-coding RNA (337 nucleotides) under soil metagenome. RNAcentral describes it as "partial contains 5.8S ribosomal RNA, internal transcribed spacer 2, and large subunit ribosomal RNA". The stretch from base 3 to 121 matches the Rfam family "5.8S ribosomal RNA", at positions 36 to 154 of the family's 154-position model. The record is from RNAcentral.
GAAUGAAGAACGCAGCGAAAUGCGAUAAGUAAUGUGAAUUGCAGAAUUCAGUGAAUCAUCGAAUCUUUGAACGCACAUUGCGCCCGCCAGUAUUCUGGCGGGCAUGCCUGUUCGAGCGUCAUUUCAACCAUCAAGCCCCAGGCUUGUGUUGGGGACCUGCGGCUGCCGCAGGCCCUGAAAACCAGUGGCGGGCUCGCUGUCACACCGGGCGUAGUAGAUUUUAUCUCGCUCAGGGCGUGCUGCGGGUUCCGGCCGUUAAAAAGCCUUUUUUACCCAAGGUUGACCUCGGAUCAGGUAGGAAGACCCGCUGACCUUAAGCAUAUCAAUAAGCGGAGGA